Molecule: ribosomal RNA, 274 nt
Filed under: uncultured bacterium
Lineage: Bacteria
Description: partial 16S ribosomal RNA
Rfam family: Bacterial small subunit ribosomal RNA
Source: RNAcentral
UAAUACGGGGGGAGCAAGCGUUGUUCGGAUUUACUGGGCGUAAAGGGCGCGUAGGCGGCCACCGCAAGUCAGUUGUGAAAUCUCUGGGCUUAACCCAGAAAGGUCAACUGAUACUGCGGGGCUAGAGUGCAGAAGGGGCAACUGGAAUUCUCGGUGUAGCGGUGAAAUGCGUAGAUAUCGAGAGGAACACCUGCGGCGAAGGCGGGUUGCUGGGCUGACACUGACGCUGAAGCGCGAAAGCUAGGGGAGCGAACGGGAUUAGAUACCCCGGUAG